UUUAGCGCGGCCAACAUGCAAGUCGAGCGGACAGAAUGGGGAGCUUGCUCCCUGAUGUUAGCGGCGGACGGGUGAGUAACACGUGGGUAACCUGCCUGUAAGACUGGGAUAACUCCGGGAAACCGGGGCUAAUACCGGAUGGUUGUUUGAACCGCAUGGUUCAAACAUAAAAGGUGGCUUCGGCUACCACUUACAGAUGGACCCGCGGCGCAUUAGCUAGUUGGUGAGGUAACGGCUCACCAAGGCAACGAUGCGUAGCCGACCUGAGAGGGUGAUCGGCCACACUGGGACUGAGACACGGCCCAGACUCCUACGGGAGGCAGCAGUAGGGAAUCUUCCGCAAUGGACGAAAGUCUGACGGAGCAACGCCGCGUGAGUGAUGAAGGUUUUCGGAUCGUAAAGCUCUGUUGUUAGGGAAGAACAAGUACCGUUCGAAUAGGGCGGUACCUUGACGGUACCUAACCAGAAAGCCACGGCUAACUACGUGCCAGCAGCCGCGGUAAUACGUAGGUGGCAAGCGUUGUCCGGAAUUAUUGGGCGUAAAGGGCUCGUAGGCGGUUUCUUAAGUCUGAUGUGAAAGCCCCCGGCUCAACCGGGGAGGGUCAUUGGAAACUGGGGAACUCGAGUGCAGAAUAGGAGAGUGGAAUUCCACUUGUAUCCUGAAAUGCGUACAUAUGUGGAUGAACACCAUUUGCAAUGGCAAUCUCUUGUCUGUAACUGACACUGAUGAGCAAAUAUCUGUGAUUUACCAGUAUCAAUCCCGGGUACUCCACCCUCUAACAUUUCAUUGUAACUUUUAGUGGGUCUUUUCCUUAAUUGCCAACCAUUAAUUUUCUACUCAAACUUAAUAAUGUUUUUACUUCCCCAAUCCAUUAUACUUUUUUUUCAUCACAACCUUUCUCUUUUCCUUUUUUCUAUUUAUCCUUCCUCCCUUCUUCCCUCAUCUACUUCUCCCCCUUUUCUCUUCCUUAUUACAAAUUAUAAUUUUCUAUUUUUUUCAUCCUCUUUUUCAUUCUUAUCUUCCUCUUUUUAACUUUACUUCUACUACUAUUUUAUAUCUAUUUUUAUUU
This 1070-nucleotide ribosomal RNA is filed under the name Bacillus subtilis. RNAcentral's name for it is "bacterial SSU rRNA". The stretch from base 1 to 790 matches the Rfam family "Bacterial small subunit ribosomal RNA". The record is from RNAcentral. Lineage: Bacteria; Bacillati; Bacillota; Bacilli; Caryophanales; Bacillaceae.